RNAcentral lists this ribosomal RNA (253 nucleotides) under uncultured bacterium. Its description in RNAcentral is "partial 16S ribosomal RNA". It matches the Rfam family "Bacterial small subunit ribosomal RNA", at positions 524 to 776 of the family's 1533-position model. The record is from RNAcentral.
UACGUAGGGUGCAAGCGUUAAUCGGAAUUACUGGGCGUAAAGCGUGCGCAGGCGGCUUUGCAAGACAGAUGUGAAAUCCCCGGGCUUAACCUGGGAACUGCAUUUGUGACUGCAUGGCUGGAGUGCGGCAGAGGGGGAUGGAAUUCCGCGUGUAGCAGUGAAAUGCGUAGAUAUGCGGAGGAACACCGAUGGCGAAGGCAAUCCCCUGGGCCUGCACUGACGCUCAUGCACGAAAGCGUGGGGAGCGAAUGGG